AACGAACGCUGGCGGCAUGCCUAACACAUGCCAGUCGAACGAGACCUUCGGGUCUAGUGGCGCACGGGUGCGUAACGCGUGGGAACCUGCCCUUAGGUUCGGAAUAACUCCCCGAAAGGGGUGCUAAUACCGGAUAAUGUCUUCGGACCAAAGGUUUAUCGCCUUUGGAUGGGCCCGCGUUGGAUUAGCUAGUUGGUAGGGUAAAAGCCUACCAAGGCGACGACCCAUAGCUGGUCUGAGAGGAUGAUCAGCCACACUGGGACUGAGACACGGCCCAGACUCCUACGGGAGGCAGCAGUGGGGAAUAUUGGACAAUGGGCGAAAGCCUGAGCCAGCAAUGCCGCGUGAGUGAUGAAGGCCUUAGGGUUGUAAAGCUCUUUUACCCGGGAUGAUAAUGACAGUACCGGGAGAAUAAGCACCGGCUAACUCCGUG
Molecule: ribosomal RNA, 433 nt
Filed under: uncultured bacterium
Lineage: Bacteria
Description: partial 16S ribosomal RNA
Rfam family: Bacterial small subunit ribosomal RNA
Source: RNAcentral